This 2835-nucleotide long non-coding RNA is filed under the name Nicotiana tabacum (common tobacco). RNAcentral describes it as "long non-coding RNA (NTAB_LNC005702)". Lineage: Eukaryota; Viridiplantae; Streptophyta; Magnoliopsida; Solanales; Solanaceae. The record is from RNAcentral.
UUUUUUUUUCUAGAAUUUCGGCAGAGUUUCAGGAUUUUCAAAUACCUACCUCACUCUUGUUUUUGAUUUUUGAUUUUUUUUGAUUAUUUUUUUUGAUUUUCUUUCCCUAUUCUAGAAGCCAGUCAACAUGCAAGCUGAAUCAAACAAAUGCGCAAGUAGCACGUAAGAUGCAUCAGGAUGAUCUUUUAAAUUUGGGUACACCUGUCCUAGAUGGACCCAACCCCUGUGUUGAGUCCCCAAAGUCAGAUGCACAUGAUGCAAACAAAUGUUCCUACUAGGGAUCCGGCAUGAGGUUAUGUUAUUCUAGGUUUAAAAACCUAGGUGUAUUGUUCUAAACCUGGCUUACCCGAGCGGACAGCUCGAGCCGAGGGGGGUAGCGUACUGAGAAUACAGAAGCUUCACCGGUUUUUCAACUUGUCCGAACCUCGUUCUAAAAUUGGGAUAUGACUCUAACAGAAAAGAAGUCACACGAAGUGCACACUUCCCAGAUGAUUUAGAAGACCCAGGGAGAAGAGGGUUUCAUAACAUUUUUUAUAUACAGUUCAAUAAAUAUCAAAGCGAUAAAAAGAGGCAUUUAGCACAUUAGGCUCAAACACGUAAAAAUCAGAUAAUAAAUAAAAGGCAACUAUAACAGUUAUUCUAAGCUUGAAUUCUGAACCCUGAACCAGAAGUUUUGGGUUCUUAUCCCCAACAGAGUCGCCAGAGCUGUCACACCUCAUUUUUACUACCCGAGAGGGUAUAUGGGAGUUUUUUCAAUUAAAGUAAUAUUAUUCGAAAUGAGAUUAUUUUAUUCAAUUUCAGAGUCGCCACUUGGAAUAGUUUAUUUGGUGUUCCAAGUCACCGGUUUAUUUUAAAAUCCCAAAUCGAGGAAUUUUUUAUUUUUUAAAGUCCUCGAACCAGAAAUUCUAAUAAGGAAUUCUAUUAACCCGGGAGAAGGUGUUAGGCAUUCCCGGGUUUCGUGGUUCUAGCACGAUCGCUUAAACUAUUAAUAUUGGCCUAAUUAUCUGAUUUUUUACAUGUUUUAAAUCUAUUGUGCAUUUUAGCCUUAUAACCGCUUUUUAAUUAUUUUAACCGCUUUUAGGAUUUAUGGAAUUAUUUUCUUUAACAAGUUACGAUUGUCGUACACUUGCCGUUUUGGGACACACCGCAAACCACGCUACAUGAAAUACACCCGCAAUUCGCGACAUGUUUUAUUUUUAUUAUUGUUCAAAGUUGUUGUGGUCGAGUCACAUGAAAUGCACACCCGAAUUUGGGUUAGGUAUCCAUGUCACGGGAACCAUACCCAUAGUCGUGAUGAUUUAUUGGUCGCGCCUAAAGCAAAGCUACGAGUAUUCAUGAUUUAAUUAUUUCCUAAUGUUUGAGAUUAUAUCAAGGUCAUGAAUUCUGGAAUGGAAUUAAUUAUGGAUGAAAUUUAUGAUUUUAGCUAUUAUGAAUCUAUUUAAAAAGAUAAUUACCCAUUAAUGUCACAACCCAACAAUUUGUGCGUAAGUCUUUACUAACUAAUGCGACCACUAAGAGGAUGAAAUAUAGAAAAACAUUUUAAAACAUCAAACUUUUAAUUUCAUGAGGUUAAACAGAUUAGUUCUCCACUCAAAAAGCCAAAUAGCCCAGAAUCUUUAAUCAAUGCAAAUCUCUUAACAAUAAAAUAUUAUUGGUUUAAAUCCAACCACUUAUUCUAAUAAAAUCAACUAACAAAGGAAGAUCUGCCAUAACAAUUGAAUAUCUCCAAAUACAUCAAAACUAAGUAAUAUCCAAAACAAUAAGCAAUUGAAGUAAAAUGAGGGCAUGACCAAACAAAUACACAUUCAACAACAAAUGAAUCCAUUAUAUUCUAAAAUUGGCAAAUAACGAAGACAACAAAAGAGUAGAAAUAAAUCUCAAGGUCAUGUUACUCUGAACUUUGAUUAUUUUACAGCAUUGAAGUCAGAAAUAACGCAGGAUCUGCGGACAAGCACGAACCAAAAACCUCGCCGAAAAAUUGAUCAAAACCACGAUUGUUUCUCGACCCAAAAACGUUGCUACUUUGGAAGGAAUAGAGGGUCGUUUUCGAGCUAUUUGAUGGGGUUUUCAGCUCGUUUUCGGGAUGGAAUUGAAGCUCUUUUCGCUGGUUUUCAUGGUGGUUUGGAGCUCGUUAAUGGACUGUUUUUGUGUAGAUUUUCAGGGAUGUCUUUUAGACUUGUUUUGGACUAUUUUUGUGCAGAUUUUCGGGUCUUAGGAGGCUGGUUUUCAUGGUGAUUUUGCUGAGUUUUCAGCUGGAAAAUAGAGCAUGUUUUUGCUGGGUUUUAGAGCUAAUUUUUAGGCGGUUUUUCAGCACAUUUAGGAUGUUUCUGGGGGCUGAUUUGAGCUGUUUUUUGCAUAAGGUUUUAGCUGAAUUUUUGGGGCUAACUCUCAUGGGUUUUAGGGCUGGUUUAAAGAUGAUUUUCUGUUAAGUUUGAUUGGCUUUUUCAGGCGCUUUGAAGCUGGAUUUCAUGAGGUUUUAUGGCUGAUUUUGGGGGUGAAGGGGAGAGAUUUUGAUGUUGAAAAGGUGAAGAAAGUUGUGAGAUUCAAGGUGCUUUCAUGGUGGCUUUAGGCUGGAAUUCUAUGAAGGAAGAAAGAGAUUUUUUGGGGUUGCUACUCUCUGUUUUUGGAGUGAAGAAGAAGAAGUUCAGGAGUCUUUUUUUUUUGUCCAAAACGGCUGAUUUUUGCUUAGGGAUCUAGGUCUAGGGGUCUAGCUAGGUUAAAUAGAGCAAGAGUUAUUUUUAAUGGUAGGGAAUGGGUAUUGGGCUAAAAUAAUUGGGCUUGAAGGGAUUUGGGUCAUGAAUUUGGGCUAAUUAACUUUGAGGUAGGAAGACUUAA